Molecule: ribosomal RNA, 192 nt
Filed under: Triticum aestivum (bread wheat)
Lineage: Eukaryota; Viridiplantae; Streptophyta; Magnoliopsida; Poales; Poaceae
Description: partial small subunit ribosomal RNA
Source: RNAcentral
AUGGUCUUUGAUGCUCGACACUUCACACCAGGCAUGUUGACCUAUAGUGCAUUCUGGCUGACUCGCUGCAACUUAUUGUUCCUGUGGUGUGUUGAACCUUACAACCCAGAGCGUGUAAUGAGACAGUUCGGUCUCUAUCAAGAAAUUCCACCACCUUUUCCCAGACGUAUCGACGAGGAAACACAUAAGUAA